Spinacia oleracea (spinach) is the source of this 1405-nucleotide long non-coding RNA. RefSeq lists it as uncharacterized. The transcript is spliced from 7 exons. NCBI's taxonomy places the organism in Eukaryota, Viridiplantae, Streptophyta, Magnoliopsida, Caryophyllales, Amaranthaceae. The record is from RefSeq and is a predicted model, not a curated record.
ACAUACGGAGUAGCUCUCUUUCUCUCUCCUAGGUCUUCGGCAUCCCUGCUCCCUCCCGUUUUCUCUCUCCUUCCUCUUCAUCUUCUUCGAUCUUCUUCCUCUAAUCCUCUUCCACCAAACCCCAUCCUCCAUUCUAAACCCUAAUAUUUCGUGUCUCUUUCACAGGACACGCAGACUCUCUCCUCCACCCAUCGCCAUCGCCAUCGCCGGUUCUUUCGAUUUCAAUUAAUGAGAAUUGGCCACUGCACUCCGCCGUUGUCUCCGCCCUGAGCAGUUCCGCUCUUUUCCUGCCUUCAAAUCGAUCUGAUUGUUGAAUCCAAAUUGAAAUUCAGCCCUUUUCUUCCUAAAACGUUGUGGGUUUCUAUCAAUUCUCGACACAAAAUCUUGGAAACCAAUAAAUUUCUCACCUGGUUAUUAUGAGAUCUGGAGAUUUUGUUGAUCAUGUGCUCUUUCUGAUUUUGGUUUGGAUUUCUUAACAAGCUCUUCAAUAAUCAAAUGGUAUUACAUCUGACCUAAUUUCAGUUUCGAUUUUAUUAUAUUUUUGUGUAAUAUUUCUGUAUUUCGAUAGGAUUUUGAAACCUGUAAUGGAAUUGAGGAAGUUGCUGCAAUUAUUAGAGACAAACAAGAAUGUCGAAGAACUCUUUCUUCUGAUCUCAACGACCAUGUCUCCUUUUAUUUAUUUUCUGCUUAAUUAUGGAUUAAUUCAGCAAUUAAUUACAUUUAAUAAUUGUUUUUUUUUUUGUUAUUCGAUUAUCUUUAGCAGGUGCUGGUUGAAGGAAAUUCGCAUAGUCGUACUGCUGUUUUCUGGCUUGCAUAAACAGGACUACGGGUAUUAUGGGCAAGAAACAAGGGGAAGUAGAAAAGGGGCAGAGGAGAUAUGAUAAUGGUAGUGGGGACUUUUAUACAGAGCCAUCAAUGUAGCGGGUGAUUCCAUCUCGAAUUUCAAAGAAAAACAAGGGCCAGAUAUCACCGAACGAGUUCAUCCCCGGGCUUUUGGAUCUUCACUCUCAUGAUGCUGAACUUCUCACUGAGAUUUAUUGUUGAAGGUUCAGAACUCGAUCGUCGGCAACUGGAGUAGUCGAUCUUUAUUAGUCGUAGAGCAGUUGAUCGAUCUGCAGCAGCAUACCAAAACUCAGUAGCAGUGCAUUGUAUCGCAUAUGCUGCAUACCAAAGGCCAAAGAUUGGCAUACAACUGGAUUAGGUUUGGAUGAAAAUUUUCUGUUGGAAUUUUUACUGUUAUGAGAACGAUAUGUUGGACAAUAUUGAUGUAGAUGUGAUUAUACAUUUUGCAUCUCAAAAUUCUAGACAAAAUCGAUUUUUAUGAUUUAUAAUAGGAGUUGAAUGAAGAGGAAAAGUUUAAUGUAUGUUUUUACGGAGUAAUACUUUGUAGAACUAAGUUUAUUUA